RNAcentral lists this ribosomal RNA (216 nucleotides) under Glomeromycotina sp. Its description in RNAcentral is "partial small subunit ribosomal RNA". The stretch from base 44 to 216 matches the Rfam family "Eukaryotic small subunit ribosomal RNA", at positions 690 to 864 of the family's 1831-position model. The record is from RNAcentral. Lineage: Eukaryota; Fungi; Glomeromycota.
GGGUCAGUAGGUUGGUCGUGCCACCGGUACGUACUGGUCCCACUGAUUCCUCCUUCCUGAAGAACCGUAAUGCCAUUAAUUUGGCGUUGCGGGGAAACAGGACUGUUACUUUGAAAAAAUUAGAGUGUUUAAAGCAAGCUAACGCUUGAAUACAUUAGCAUGGAAUAAUGAAAUAGGACGAUCGAUCCUAUUUUGUUGGUUUCUAGGAUUGACGUA